RNAcentral lists this ribosomal RNA (955 nucleotides) under uncultured Phaeocystis. RNAcentral's name for it is "partial Bacterial large subunit ribosomal RNA". It matches the Rfam family "Bacterial large subunit ribosomal RNA", at positions 962 to 1893 of the family's 2925-position model. The record is from RNAcentral. Lineage: Eukaryota; Haptophyta; Phaeocystales; Phaeocystaceae.
ACCUAGGAGUGAUAUCCGGGAGACAGACGGCGGGUGCUAAGGUCCGUCGUCAAAAGGGAAACAGCCCUGACCGCCAGCUAAGGUCCCUAAGUUACGGCUAAGUGGGAAAGGAUGUGAGGAGGCCAAGACAACCAGGACGUUGGCUUAGAAGCAGCCAUCGUUUAAAGAAAGCGUAAUAGCUCACUGGUCUAAAUAAGCCGCCUUGCGCCGAAGAUGUACCGGGGCUCAAGCCGUACACCGAAGCUGCGGACUCCUUAAUGGAGUGGUAGCGGAGCGUUCCGUAGGUCUGUGAAGGGAUACCCGCGAGGGGUCCUGGAGAUAUCGGAAGUGCGAAUGCUGACAUGAGUAACGAUAAGGGAGGUGAAAAACCUCCCCGCCGAAAGAUCAAGGUUUCCUGUCCAACGUUAAUCGGGACAGGGUGAGUCGGCCCCUAAGGCGAGGGCGAAAGCCGUAGUCGAUGGGAAACCGGUUAAAAUUCCGGUACCGACUCUUACUGCGAUGGGGUGACGGAGAAGGCUAGGCUGGCAGGGUGUUGGUUGUCCCUGUUUAAGCGAGUAGGUAGGGGGCUUAGGUAAAUCCGGGCCCUCGUUAAUCUGAGACGCGAUGACGAUCUCCUGGGGAGACCCUCGAGAGAAGCAGUCGAUGCCAUACUUCCAGGAAAAACCUCUAAGCUUCAGGUAAGAGUUGACCGUACUGUAAACCGACACAGGUGAUCAGGUAGAGAAUACCAAGGCGCUUGAGAGAACUUGGGUGAAGGAACUAGGCAAAAUGGUACCGUAACUUCGGGAGAAGGUACGCUCCUGCCGGUGAUCGGACUUGCUCCGUAAGCUAGUGGGAGUCGAAGUGACCAGGUGGCUGCAACUGUUUACUAAAAACAUAGCACUCUGCAAACUCGUGAGAGGAAGUAUAGGGUGUGACGCCUGCCCGGUGCCGGAAGGUUAAGUGAUGGGGUUAG